GAUGAACGCUGACAGAAUGCUUAACACAUGCAAGUCAACUUGAACUUCGGUUUGGGUGGCGGACGGGUGAGUAACGCGUAAAGAACUUGCCUCACAGUUAGGGACAACAUUUGGAAACGAAUGCUAAUACCUGAUAUUAUGAUUUUAGGGCAUCCUAGAAUUAUGAAAGCUAUAUGCGCUGUGAGAGAGCUUUGCGUCCCAUUAGCUAGUUGGAGAGGUAACGGCUCACCAAGGCGAUGAUGGGUAGCCGGCCUGAGAGGGUGAACGGCCACAAGGGGACUGAGACACGGCCCUUACUCCUACGGGAGGCAGCAGUGGGGAAUAUUGGACGAUGGACCAAGAGUCUGAUCCAGCAAUUCUGUGUGCACGAUGAAGUUUUUCGGAAUGUAAAGUGCUUUCAGUUGGGAAGAAAAAAAUGACGGUACCAACAGAAGAAGUGACGGCUAAAUACGUG
This 454-nucleotide ribosomal RNA is filed under the name uncultured bacterium. RNAcentral's name for it is "partial 16S ribosomal RNA". It matches the Rfam family "Bacterial small subunit ribosomal RNA", at positions 28 to 507 of the family's 1533-position model. The record is from RNAcentral.